This 436-nucleotide ribosomal RNA is filed under the name uncultured bacterium. RNAcentral's name for it is "bacterial SSU rRNA". It matches the Rfam family "Bacterial small subunit ribosomal RNA", at positions 958 to 1397 of the family's 1533-position model. The record is from RNAcentral.
AACGCGAAGAACCUUACCCAGAUUUGACAUGCAGAGGACAGUUCCAGAGAUGGGAUCUCCCUUCGGGGCCUCUGCACAGGUGCUGCAUGGCUGUCGUCAGCUCGUGCCGUGAGGUGUUGGGUUAAGUCCCGCAACGAGCGCAACCCUUAUCAUUAGUUGCCAACAAUAAGAUGGGAACUCUAGUGAGACUGCCUGGGUUAACCAGGAGGAAGGUGAGGAUGACGUCAAGUCCGCAUGGCCCUUAUGUCUGGGGCUACACACGUGCUACAAUGGCCAGUACAGAAGGCAGCGAAACCGCGAGGUGAAGCAAAUCCCUAAAACUGGCCCCAGUUCAGAUUGUAGUCUGCAACUCGACUACAUGAAGCCGGAAUUGCUAGUAAUGGCGAGUCAGCACAUCGCCGUGAAUACGUUCCCGGGCCUUGUACACACCGAUAGC